Molecule: ribosomal RNA, 696 nt
Filed under: Escherichia coli
Lineage: Bacteria; Pseudomonadati; Pseudomonadota; Gammaproteobacteria; Enterobacterales; Enterobacteriaceae
Description: partial 23S ribosomal RNA
Rfam family: Bacterial large subunit ribosomal RNA
Source: RNAcentral
AACCAGUACCGUGAGGGAAAGGCGAAAAGAACCCCGGCGAGGGGAGUGAAAAAGAACCUGAAACCGUGUACGUACAAGCAGUGGGAGCCUCUUUAUGGGGUGACUGCGUACCUUUUGUAUAAUGGGUCAGCGACUUAUAUUCUGUAGCAAGGUUAACCGAAUAGGGGAGCCGAAGGGAAACCGAGUCUUAACUGGGCGUUAAGUUGCAGGGUAUAGACCCGAAACCCGGUGAUCUAGCCAUGGGCAGGUUGAAGGUUGGGUAACACUAACUGGAGGACCGAACCGACUAAUGUUGAAAAAUUAGCGGAUGACUUGUGGCUGGGGGUGAAAGGCCAAUCAAACCGGGAGAUAGCUGGUUCUCCCCGAAAGCUAUUUAGGUAGCGCCUCGUGAAUUCAUCUCCGGGGGUAGAGCACUGUUUCGGCAAGGGGGUCAUCCCGACUUACCAACCCGAUGCAAACUGCGAAUACCGGAGAAUGUUAUCACGGGAGACACACGGCGGGUGCUAACGUCCGUCGUGAAGAGGGAAACAACCCAGACCGCCAGCUAAGGUCCCAAAGUCAUGGUUAAGUGGGAAACGAUGUGGGAAGGCCCAGACAGCCAGGAUGUUGGCUUAGAAGCAGCCAUCAUUUAAAGAAAGCGUAAUAGCUCACUGGUCGAGUCGGCCUGCGCGGAAGAUGUAACGGGGCUAAACCAUG